This 524-nucleotide ribosomal RNA is filed under the name uncultured bacterium. Its description in RNAcentral is "partial 16S ribosomal RNA". It matches the Rfam family "Bacterial small subunit ribosomal RNA", at positions 28 to 523 of the family's 1533-position model. The record is from RNAcentral.
GACGAACGCUGGCGGCGUGCCUAAUACAUGCAAGUCGAGCGCAGGAAGCCGUCUGAACCCUUCGGGGGGACGACGGCGGAAUGAGCGGCGGACGGGUGAGUAACACGUAAAGAACCUGCCCAUAGGUCUGGGAUAACCACGAGAAAUCGGGGCUAAUACCGGAUGUGUCAUCGGACCGCAUGGUCCGCUGAUGAAAGGCGCUCCGGCGUCGCCCAUGGAUGGCUUUGCGGUGCAUUAGCUAGUUGGUGGGGUAACGGCCCACCAAGGCGACGGUGCAUAGCCGGCCGGAGGGGGUGAUCGGCCACACUGGGACUGAGACACGGCCCAGACUCCUACGGGAGGCAGCAGUAGGGAAUCUUCCCCAAUGGACGAAAGUCUGAUGGAGCAACGCCGCGUGAACGAUGAAGGCUUUCGGGUCGUAAAGUUCUGUUGUAAGGGAAGAACAAGUGCCGCAGGCAAUGGCGGCACCUUGACGGUACCUUGCGAGAAAGCCACGGCUAACUACGUGCCAGCCGCCGCCGUAA